Molecule: long non-coding RNA, 727 nt
Filed under: Homo sapiens (human)
Lineage: Eukaryota; Metazoa; Chordata; Mammalia; Primates; Hominidae
Description: HSALNT0314120
Source: RNAcentral
CAAGAUGGUGUAGUGGAAAUCUGGUUGUCUAUUCAAUAUCCAUUUACCUCUUCCUCAAUUGUGACGGAAUUUGUUUUGUCCAGAUAUCAAACCUGCACAUGGAUCUAAGCAGGGGUGGGAUGAAGGGGGCGGAUCUUGUGUAAGCCAAUCAGCAUAAGGUAUUCUGUUGAUAACUAUUACUGGUCCAUAAAAAUACAUAUAACCUAAUUUGGCUCAAUCAGACCUUUAAAAAGGGGACUAAGAGUCCAUGCCCAGGGAAUGGUUUCUCUCUCUUCCGCUGGACUUUAACAAGCAAGCACAUGACGGGCUUCAUCAGUCCUGGACGAGAAAGCUGAGAUGAAAAUAACUUGAGUCUUGGAUGAAAUCAGUGACCCUAUGAUAUCAUCACAUCUAGAGCUGACUCUAACUGGACUUCCAGCUAUUUCCAGGACAUAUUCAAGCAGAGUUUGGAUAACCACCUGCCAAAGAUCUGUAUUGGGUGGGAAGUUGGUUCAUACCUGUCUUAAUUGUCCAAGAUUCUAUUCUUCACCUAGAUUAUCUCUGUAAAUCAUGAAGUGCUUACUAAAAGUAUUAUAUCCAAAUGAAUAUUCAAGUAAAAAUAUAAACAAUAAAAUAAUAGAGAAUGCUAAUAACAGUGCUAAAUACUGUGUAUACAUCAUUUUUAAUUAGUACUGACAAUCUCGUAAGUUAGGUAUUACUUCUAUACCUUUUUUUUUUUUUCAGCUGA